Molecule: non-coding RNA, 106 nt
Organism: Citrus sinensis (sweet orange)
Lineage: Eukaryota; Viridiplantae; Streptophyta; Magnoliopsida; Sapindales; Rutaceae
Source: Rfam
AUGCCAUGAUGAGAACCUUCUGAGCAAUUCUUUAAAUCUUUCCCAAGCCUCAUACAAACUCUCAUCUUCAAGUUGAUGGAAGAAAGUGAUCUCAUUCCGUAAUUUU